GCCAGCAUGGUGUAGUGGUUUGAGCGUUGGACUACAACUCUGGAGACCAGGGUUCGAAUCCUGAUUCAGCCA
Molecule: transfer RNA, 72 nt
Filed under: Phrynosoma platyrhinos (Desert horned lizard)
Lineage: Eukaryota; Metazoa; Chordata; Lepidosauria; Squamata; Phrynosomatidae
Description: tRNA-OTHER
Source: RNAcentral